UCCAAGGGAAAUGUCAGGACUCAGAAAACACUAAGUUCCAGCCUCAGAACAGUUAAUCAGACAUUCCACUGCCUUUCUGUGGAAAGCACAGUCACAGAGCAGCCUCUGUCCUAACCAACAUUCCUAAGAGAAGUUCCUAAAACCUUCCUUCCAGAGGAGUCCGACGCCAUAUCCAGGGGGAAGAAAUGGUACACAGGGAGGCCAAGAGAACUCGAAGGGCACAGACCAUGCUGUGUUCCUCAUGCUCAUGCGCAUAGACGACAGCCUUUUAUUCAGUCAUGUAACAUUACAGCUAUCCACUUCUUUAUCAAGCAGCAGUUCUUGAGGUCUUCAUCUCCAAAGGCUCCCACAACAGGAAGAGAGAUGCAGGAAAGUCCACACUGAACAAACUAAGCCUCCAAACAGGAGCUCUAGGAGACAGCCUUCUUGGAUGAGAAUCCUCAGGCCUGCCGUAGCCUUCAUAUAACUUCCGCCUUCAACAACAUGUUGACAACACUCAAGAGACUGACCCAGAGCUACUGGCUGACUCUUGGCUUCAUAGACUGCACGAGAGAAUAAAUGUUGGCUGUUCCAAGA
Molecule: non-coding RNA, 576 nt
Organism: Peromyscus maniculatus bairdii (prairie deer mouse)
Lineage: Eukaryota; Metazoa; Chordata; Mammalia; Rodentia; Cricetidae
Source: RefSeq, a predicted model, not a curated record